Molecule: ribosomal RNA, 490 nt
Filed under: uncultured bacterium
Lineage: Bacteria
Description: partial 16S ribosomal RNA
Rfam family: Bacterial small subunit ribosomal RNA
Source: RNAcentral
AUUGAACGCUGGCGGCAGGCCUAACACAUGCAAGUCGAAUGGUAACAGGAAACAGCUUGCUGUUUCGCUGACGAGUGGCGGACGGGUGAGUAAUGUCUGGGAAACUGCCUGAUGGAGGGGGAUAACUACUGGAAACGGUAGCUAAUACCGCAUAACGUCGCAAGACCAAAGAGGGGGACCUUCGGGCCUCUUGCCAUCAGAUGUGCCCAGAUGGGAUUAGCUAGUAGGUGGGGUAACGGCUCACCUAGGCGACGAUCCCUAGCUGGUCUGAGAGGAUGACCAGCCACACUGGAACUGAGACACGGUCCAGACUCCUACGGGAGGCAGCAGUGGGGAAUAUUGCACAAUGGGCGCAAGCCUGAUGCAGCCAUGCCGCGUGUAUGAAGAAGGCCUUCGGGUUGUAAAGUACUUUCAGCGGGGAGGAAGGGAGUAAAGUUAAUACCUUUGCUAAUUGACGUUACCCGAAGAAGAAGAACCGGCUAACUCCGUG